AAAAAAAAAAAAAAUUAAAGAAUAAAAAAGAAAAGAAAGGAAUGGUGACUGCUACUUUUCCCAAAUGCAUUUGAAGCCAUGUCUGGUUUAUGGAUUGAAUAUUGCAAAAUGGGCUAGGCUUUGCAUUUUUGUGCUAAUGAAAUAUGGUGAUGAUAAUUAUGCUAUAUUAUAUGUAGGAAAGAUCACGGCACAGCCAUAAAGAUUGGUAUUGGUGGUACCUUGUUAUUGAACCUUAAGAAUUAUACCACAGGGGAUGUAUAAAACCAGGAAUCCAUUUACAUACCCAAUAUCUCUAAUGGACCUAAACAUGCGAGUGUGGAUCCUUUCUGCAACUUAUGUUCAGUAAACAUAGGAACUUUGAAUAUGCCGUAGACUUCUAAAUUUAUCGAACAAAUUAAAAGUUGCAG
This 407-nucleotide unclassified non-coding RNA is filed under the name Hevea brasiliensis (rubber tree). Lineage: Eukaryota; Viridiplantae; Streptophyta; Magnoliopsida; Malpighiales; Euphorbiaceae. The record is from RNAcentral.